Molecule: ribosomal RNA, 303 nt
Filed under: uncultured bacterium
Lineage: Bacteria
Description: partial 16S ribosomal RNA
Rfam family: Bacterial small subunit ribosomal RNA
Source: RNAcentral
AGCAGCCGCCGCGGGAAUACGUAGGGUGCGAGCGUUAAUCGGAAUUACUGGGCGUAAAGCGUGCGCAGGCGGUUUGUUAAGACAGAUGUGAAAUCCCCGGGCUUAACCUGGGAACUGCAUUUGUGACUGGCCGGCUAGAGUAUGGCAGAGGGAGGUGGAAUUCCACGUGUAGCAGUGAAAUGCGUAGAUAUGUGGAGGAAUACCGAUGGCGAAGGCAGCCCCCUGGGAUAACACUGACGCUCAUGCACGAAAGCGUGGGGGAGCAAACAGGAUUAGAUACCCCUGUAGUCCCUGUCUCUUAUA